This 497-nucleotide ribosomal RNA is filed under the name uncultured bacterium. Its description in RNAcentral is "partial 16S ribosomal RNA". It matches the Rfam family "Bacterial small subunit ribosomal RNA", at positions 28 to 507 of the family's 1533-position model. The record is from RNAcentral.
GAUGAACGCUGGCGGCGUGCCUAAUACAUGCAAGUCGAGCGGAAAGACGCGGCGUGCGCGGUACUGACGUUAGCAACGGACGGGUAAGUAACACGUGGACAACCCACCUAUACGACUGAGAUCAGUUCGGGAAACUGGAGUACCUAACGGAAAACAUAUUGAGUGGGAUGGUUCAAUAGUGAUAGCCGGUUAUGAUGACAUUGCUACAUGUAUGCGCGCCGCAUUAGUUAGUUGGUAAGAUAACGGCUUACGAAGGCAACGAUGCGUGGCCGAACUGAGAGGGUGAUCGGCCACACUGGAACUGAGACACGGUCCAGACUCCUACGGGAGGCAGCAGUAGGGAAUCUUCCGCAAUGGGCGAAAGCCUGACGGAGCAACGCCGCGUGAGUGAUGAAGGUCUUCGGAUCGUAAAACUCUGUUAUUAGGGAAGAACAAAUGUGUAAGUAACUAUGCACGUCUUGACGGUACCUAAUCAGAAAGCCACGGCUAACUACGUG